Molecule: ribosomal RNA, 465 nt
Filed under: uncultured bacterium
Lineage: Bacteria
Description: partial 16S ribosomal RNA
Rfam family: Bacterial small subunit ribosomal RNA
Source: RNAcentral
GACGAACGCUGGCGGCGUGCUUAACACAUGCAAGUCGUACGGAAAGGCCCCUUUUUUGUUACUCGAGUGGCUGACGGGUGGGUAACACGUGCGUAACCUGCCCGCGCCUUCCUGUUAACUUCAUUAAACUGGGUCUAAUACCUGCUAGGAAUCCUUUCCUCAUGGUUGGUGUUGGAAAGCUUCGGUGGGUUUGGAUGGAAUGACGGCUUAUCAGCUUGUUGGUUGGGGAGUGGGUUACCAAGGCUUUCACGGGUAGCCGGCCUGGGUGGGCGAGCGGCCAAAUUGGGGCUGGGAUACGGCCCAGACUCCUACGGGAGGCAGCAGUGGGGAAUAUUGGACAAUGGGCGGGAGCCUGAUGCAGGAACGCCGCGUGCGGGAUGACGGCCUUCGGGUUGUAAACCGCUUUCAGCAGGGGCGAAGCUUGUGGUGACGGUACCUGCAGAAGAAGCACCGGCUAACUACGUG